CAAAAAGCAGGUAAAAGGGGUUCUCGAGGGACAAACUUAGAUUCAGAUAUAAGUAGCAGUAGCAUCAUAGCUACUUUUCCACAAAACCAGCUUUGAAGUACAUCUCAUACAUGCUUAGCAGAGGGCAUCAUACAAAGUUUUGUUAGCAUCAAUUUAAAACAUCAACAAUGUCCAGGAAGGGACUCUAAAAGUGAAAACCAGAUGAUCCUCAAUUAUUCUUUGGGCUAAAACGCAUGGUUUUUUUAGGAUGAUCCUCUUUCUACUAUCAACAGAGAUCUGGUCACUGUGUUGUAUUGGUCCUUUAUUGCUGAUUCACUUUCAUUUUGGUUCUAAUGUUUAUUUUAUUCUGUUUCUGUCUUUCUGGAGAUUAGUGUUUCUUCUUCUAAGUUGUAUCUCCUCAUUCUUUAUUUAAUAUACUUCUUUUCCUAUUAAAAAAAAUGCAAAAAGCAUGUGAAACAAUUAAGGAGAAAAUUAUAUGAUUCAAAUGUAGCUAGCCUUUAUUCUUUAAAAAAUGUAGCUAGCCCUACAACAUAUUGUUAUACGUAAGCUCAAUCAAGGGCAGCGCUAAUCUCAUUGAUCGCCAGAACUUACACACACAUACGGAGCAUUUGCUCUUAAGGUUUUUAUGAUCGUCUUUCAUUGUCCAUGUGUCUAGGAUGGUAGGCUGUAUGAAAGUCAAGUGUAAUGGCAGGAGCUUCUUGUAGUUUUUGCCAGAACUCUUGAUGUAAGCCACAAUCCCCUGUUCGAUAGGAUACAGAUUUGGACUCCAUGGAGAAAAACUACUUUGUUGCACAUAAAAUGGCAUGCUACAGUAUCCAGUCUGUUGCUUUGUUUGAAGGAAUUGUGCCAAUUGUAGUUAACCUAUACAUAUAGUACUAAAUAGUCAUAGCCUUAUGAAGUUUGAGAUUACCUAGCCCAAAAAGCCAUGAUGAUCCUCUCUUAUUUCUACUUAAACGGGGAAGUGGUAGCAAAAGGCUUGAUGAGUUCUAGCGUUUUCAAGUUUGACCAGUCAACAGACCAAGCACUGGGGCAGAUACCUUGUCGUGUCUCUCCAGUGUAAUUCUGCAGUAGACUCUCUUCAGAUUAUGAUACAACUUUGUUGAUUCUGAGUGGAUAAUCUAAGUUGCUAAAUGUGCCUCUUCCACCAUCUUUUUCUUUAGCUCAUCAGUAAUGGCACACAACCUGGUGUUAUAGCAAAGUGCACCAUCUAUCUAAGUUAUGAAGUCUUGGGCUUACACUUUCUUCUUCUGUCUUCUAUGUAGGCCUUUUUAGCUUCUCUACAAAAGGAG
Molecule: long non-coding RNA, 1289 nt
Filed under: Carica papaya (papaya)
Lineage: Eukaryota; Viridiplantae; Streptophyta; Magnoliopsida; Brassicales; Caricaceae
Description: long non-coding RNA (CPAP_LNC012079)
Source: RNAcentral